GUUAUAUGUGAGGAUACGAUUCCAUCAGAGGUCUUCAAGAAGAAUUCUGAAUGCCCUGCCUGGAGAUACUGAACCUGGGGUCUUCUGUAUGCAAAGCACGUACUCAUCCACUGAUGCAGAUGAAAACCCUCCGCUCAUGGACAUUGACAAAUAAAUAAAUUAUUGUGAGCAAUUUAGAGACUUGGGAAAAGAAGUUCAAGGGGAGACCGAAUAUUUCCAUAUGGAGAAACACCCAGCCUCCAGGUGAAAUACUGUUGCUGCUUUACAUCUGUGCACAUCACAAAGUGAUUAUAAGAAAGAACAAAAGAACUGUCCCACUCUAGACUCAAGUCUUGCUAGCCAAUAGGAGUGUCAUAAAAAAGAUGUGUCGAAGCUAAAAGUUUAUACAACCAAAGAGAAGCAGAUA
Long non-coding RNA from Sceloporus undulatus (fence lizard), 406 nucleotides. RefSeq lists it as uncharacterized. The record is from RefSeq and is a predicted model, not a curated record. Lineage: Eukaryota; Metazoa; Chordata; Lepidosauria; Squamata; Phrynosomatidae. The transcript has 3 exons.